AUCCAAGAGGAAAGUCUGGGCUGCCGUGAAGUAGGGUUCCAUUGAGAGAAUGGCUAGAGUAAUCUAAGGGAUAGUGCAACAGAAAGUAAAUCGCCACUUUAAGAAAACACUGUACAUUUAUGUAUGAUGUUUUUUGUGGUAAGAGUGAAACGGAGAGGUAAGAGCUCCCCAGUGUUUUGAGUAAUCUUAACAGCUAUGUAAACCCAACCCGCAGCAAGAAGAGAUGGUAAUAAACUUCACAAUUUAUUCUCUUCGCUAGAGCCUUAAAGUAAUUUAGGGCCUAGAUAAAUUAUUAUCGUAAACAAAACUCAGCUUAUAGUUGUGCC
RNAcentral lists this RNase P RNA (326 nucleotides) under marine eukaryotic metagenome. RNAcentral's name for it is "Bacterial RNase P class A". It matches the Rfam family "Bacterial RNase P class A", at positions 37 to 361 of the family's 367-position model. From Rfam's summary of the family: Ribonuclease P (RNase P) is a ubiquitous endoribonuclease, found in archaea, bacteria and eukarya as well as chloroplasts and mitochondria. Its best characterised activity is the generation of mature 5'-ends of tRNAs by cleaving the 5'-leader elements of precursor-tRNAs. Cellular RNase Ps are ribonucleoproteins. The record is from RNAcentral.